This 221-nucleotide non-coding RNA is filed under the name Candidatus Accumulibacter. Lineage: Bacteria; Pseudomonadati; Pseudomonadota; Betaproteobacteria. The record is from RNAcentral.
CGAAAAUGGAUCGUGCAAGGUGCCGCCACGCAGAUUCGCUGCAGCGGUUAAACGGGAAACAGGUGCCUGUUUGCGCUGUACCACGCGCAACAACAUGCCUGUGCUGCCCCCGCAACGGUAAGCGAGUGUGGGACUGUCAAUAGGCCACUGGGCAAAAAGCCUGGGAAGGCGACAGAUCAAGACUCGCGAGCCCGGAUACCGGCCUUCGCAUACCACACUGG